AAUCCGAAACCGGCCGCGUAAACAAAAUGUUUGUCGUGUCGCGAAACUCAGGGCGACGCAUUGAUUCGUUUAUUUAUUUUGUUUUUUUUUUUUUUUUUUUUUUAUAUUCGUUUACUUUAGCUCUUCCGUUUACUUUGCACACGUUUGAAUGUGUAUCGUUUGAAAGACGUCUGGAAACCGAGAGAACCCGGAGAGAACUUACAACACGCUCG
Molecule: non-coding RNA, 212 nt
Organism: Cinara cedri
Lineage: Eukaryota; Metazoa; Arthropoda; Insecta; Hemiptera; Aphididae
Source: the annotation of a GenBank genome assembly